This 269-nucleotide ribosomal RNA is filed under the name Paracyathus rotundatus. Its description in RNAcentral is "partial large subunit ribosomal RNA". It matches the Rfam family "Bacterial large subunit ribosomal RNA", at positions 2003 to 2454 of the family's 2925-position model. The record is from RNAcentral. Lineage: Eukaryota; Metazoa; Cnidaria; Anthozoa; Scleractinia; Caryophylliidae.
CACGAAAGUUCUUCUGUCUUAAAAAAAUACUUAAUGAAAUUGAAUUUGUAGUGAAGAUGCUACUUAAUAAUUGUAAGACGAGAAGUCCCCAUGGAGCUUUACUGAAAACUUAAUAGUGUUAUAAGUGGGACAGUUUUGUUGGGGCGACAGUUUUUUAAAAAGUAACGAAAAUGAACAAGGGUUAAUGCUUCACUCUAAAAAUUUUUUAAAGAGACACUUAUAGUGUGUUUUAUGAUCCGUUGUUUUGACUGAAAAAAAUAACGAAAACA